UGGGGAAUUUUGGACAAUGGGCGCAAGCCUGAUCCAGCCAUGCCGCGUGCGGGAAGAAGGCCUUCGGGUUGUAAACCGCUUUUGUCAGGGAAGAAAUCCUCUGAGCUAAUACCUCGGGGGGAUGACGGUACCUGAAGAAUAAGCACCGGCUAACUACGUGCCAGCAGCCGCGGUAAUACGUAGGGUGCGAGCGUUAAUCGGAAUUACUGGGCGUAAAGCGUGCGCAGGCGGUUGUGCAAGACAGGUGUGAAAUCCCCGGGCUUAACCUGGGAACUGCACUUGUGACUGCACAGCUGGAGUGCGGCAGAGGGGGAUGGAAUUCCGCGUGUAGCAGUGAAAUGCGUAGAUAUGCGGAGGAACACCGAUGGCGAAGGCAAUCCCCUGGGCCUGCACUGACGCUCAUGCACGAAAGCGUGGGGAGCAAACAGGAUUAGAUACCCUGGUAGUCCACGCCCUAAACGAUGUCAACUGGUUGUUGGACGGCUUGCUGUUCAGUAACGUAGCUAACGCGUGAAGUUGACCGCCUGGGGAGUACGGCCGCAAGGUUGA
RNAcentral lists this ribosomal RNA (549 nucleotides) under uncultured Burkholderiales bacterium. RNAcentral's name for it is "bacterial SSU rRNA". It matches the Rfam family "Bacterial small subunit ribosomal RNA", at positions 355 to 897 of the family's 1533-position model. Lineage: Bacteria; Pseudomonadati; Pseudomonadota; Betaproteobacteria; Burkholderiales. The record is from RNAcentral.